Molecule: ribosomal RNA, 482 nt
Filed under: uncultured bacterium
Lineage: Bacteria
Description: partial 16S ribosomal RNA
Rfam family: Bacterial small subunit ribosomal RNA
Source: RNAcentral
AUUGAACGCUGGCGGCAUGCCUUACACAUGCAAGUCGAACGGUAACAGGUCUUCGGAUGCUGACGAGUGGCGAACGGGUGAGUAAUACAACGGAACGUGCCCGAUCGUGGGGGAUAACGAAGCGAAAGCUUUGCUAAUACCGCAUACGAUCUACGGAUGAAAGCAGGGGACCGCAAGGCCUUGCGCGAACGGAGCGGCCGAUGGCAGAUGAGGUAGUUGGUGGGAUAAAAGCUUACCAAGCCGACGAUCUGUAGCUGGUCUGAGAGGACGACCAGCCACACUGGGACUGAGACACGGCCCAGACUCCUACGGGAGGCAGCAGUGGGGAAUUUUGGACAAUGGGCGAAAGCCUGAUCCAGCCAUGCCGCGUGCAGGAUGAAGGCCUUCGGGUUGUAAACUGCUUUUGUACGGAACGAAAAGACUCUGGUUAAUACCUGGGGUCCAUGACGGUACCGUAAGAAUAAGCACCGGCUAACUACGUG